Molecule: ribosomal RNA, 468 nt
Filed under: uncultured bacterium
Lineage: Bacteria
Description: partial 16S ribosomal RNA
Rfam family: Bacterial small subunit ribosomal RNA
Source: RNAcentral
GACGAACGCUGGCGGCGUGCUUAACACAUGCAAGUCGAACGGAAAGGCCCUGCUUUUGUGGGGUGCUCGAGUGGCGAACGGGUGAGUAACACGUGAGUAACCUGCCCUUGACUUUGGGAUAACUUCAGGAAACUGGGGCUAAUAACGGAUAGGAGCUCCUGCUGCAUGGUGGGGGUUGGAAAGUUUCGGCGGUUGGGGAUGGACGCGCGGCUUAUCAGCUUGUUGGUGGGGUAGUGGCUUACCAAGGCUUUGACGGGUAGCCGGCCUGGGAGGGUGACCGGCGACAUUGGGACUGAGAGACGGCCCAGAGUCCUACAGGGGGCAGCAGUGGGGAAUAUUGCACAAUGGGCGGAAGCCUGAUGCAGCAACGCCGCGUGCGGGAUGACGGCCUUCGGGUUGUAAACCGCUUUCGCCUGUGACGAAGCGUGAGUGACGGUAAUGGGUAAAGAAGCACCGGCUAACUACGUG